RNAcentral lists this ribosomal RNA (384 nucleotides) under uncultured Leptolinea sp. RNAcentral's name for it is "bacterial SSU rRNA". It matches the Rfam family "Bacterial small subunit ribosomal RNA", at positions 983 to 1382 of the family's 1533-position model. Lineage: Bacteria; Bacillati; Chloroflexota; Anaerolineae; Anaerolineales; Anaerolineaceae. The record is from RNAcentral.
GACAUGCAAGUGGUAGGAACCCGAAAGGCGACCGACCUUCGGGAGCUUGCACAGGUGCUGCAUGGCUGUCGUCAGCUCGUGUCGUGAGAUGUUCGGUUAAGUCCGCUAACGAGCGCAACCCUCGCUGUGUGUUACAAGUGUCACACGGUACUGCCGGUCUUAAGCCGGAGGAAGGUGGGGAUGACGUCAAGUCAGCAUGGCCUUUAUGUCCUGGGCUACACACACGCUACAAUGGCCAACACAAUAGGUUGCUAAGCCGCGAGGUGGAGCCAAUCCUCAAAGUUGGUCUCAGUUCAGAUUGCAGGCUGCAACCCGCCUGCAUGAAGAUGGAGUUGCUAGUAACCGCAGGUCAGCUAUACUGCGGUGAAUACGUUCCCGGGGCUU